This 492-nucleotide ribosomal RNA is filed under the name uncultured bacterium. Its description in RNAcentral is "partial 16S ribosomal RNA". It matches the Rfam family "Bacterial small subunit ribosomal RNA", at positions 28 to 507 of the family's 1533-position model. The record is from RNAcentral.
GGUGGACGCUGGCGGUAGGCCUAACACAUGCAAGUCGAACGGAAGCACAGUAAGAGCUUGCUCUUACGGGUGGCGAGUGGCGGACGGGUGAGGAAUACAUAAGAAUCUACUUUUUCGGGGGGGAUAACGGAGGGAAACUGACGAUAAUACCGCAUACGACCUACGGGUGAAAGCAGUGGAUCUUCGGACCUUGCGCGAUUGAAUGAGCCGCUGCCGGAUUAGCUAGUUGGCAGGGUAACGGCUCACCAAGGCAACGCUGCGUAGCUGGCCUGAGAGGAUGAUCGGCCACACUGGAACUGAGACACGGUCCAGACUCCUACGGGAGGCAGCAGUGGGGAAUUUUCCACAAUGGGCGAAAGCCUGACGGAGCAACGCCGCGUGAGUGAUGAAGGUCUUCGGAUCGUAAACCUCUUUUAUUAGGAAAGAAAAAAUGUGUAAGUAACUAUGCACGUCUUGACGUUACCUAAUCAGAAAGCCACGGCUAACUACGUG